UACCAGCACCCCGAGUGGUCGGGACGAUUAUUGGGCCUAAAGCAUCCGUAGCCGGUCCUGCAAGUCUUCCGUUAAAUCCAGCUGCUUAACAGAUGGGCUGCGGAGGAUACUAUAAGACUAGGAGGCAGGAGAGGCAAGCGGUACUCAGUGGGUAGGGGUAAAAUCCGUUGAUCCAUUGAAGACCACCAGUGGCGAAGGCGGCUCACUGGCCCGUAACUGACGCUGAGGCACGAAAGCGUGGGGAGCAAACAGG
RNAcentral lists this ribosomal RNA (253 nucleotides) under uncultured bacterium. Its description in RNAcentral is "partial 16S ribosomal RNA". It matches the Rfam family "Archaeal small subunit ribosomal RNA", at positions 474 to 727 of the family's 1478-position model. The record is from RNAcentral.